RNAcentral lists this ribosomal RNA (254 nucleotides) under uncultured bacterium. RNAcentral describes it as "partial 16S ribosomal RNA". It matches the Rfam family "Bacterial small subunit ribosomal RNA", at positions 524 to 776 of the family's 1533-position model. The record is from RNAcentral.
GACAGAGGAUGCAAGCGUUAUCCGGAAUGAUUGGGCGUAAAGAGUUGCGUAGGUGGCAUAGUAAGUUGGUAGUGAAAGCGUUCGGCUCAACCGGAUAAACAUUAUCAAAACUGCUAAGCUAGAGGAUGAGAGAGGUUAUUGGAAUUCCCAGUGUAGGAGUGAAAUCCGUAGAUAUUGGGAGGAACACCGAUGGCGUAGGCAGAUAACUGGCUCAUUCCUGACACUAAGGCACGAAAGCGUGGGUAGCAAACGGG